Molecule: ribosomal RNA, 465 nt
Filed under: uncultured bacterium
Lineage: Bacteria
Description: partial 16S ribosomal RNA
Rfam family: Bacterial small subunit ribosomal RNA
Source: RNAcentral
CUACGGGAGGCAGCAGUGGGGAAUAUUGGACAAUGGGGGCAACCCUGAUCCAGCCAUGCCGCGUGUGUGAAGAAGGCCUUUUGGUUGUAAAGCACUUUAAGCGAGGAGGAGGCUACUGGUACUAAUAUUACCAGCUAGUGGACGUUACUCGCAGAAUAAGCACCGGCUAACUCUGUGCCAGCAGCCGCGGUAAUACAGAGGGUGCGAGCGUUAAUCGGAAUUACUGGGCGUAAAGCGCGCGUAGGCGGUUUGUUAAGUCGGAUGUGAAAUCCCCGGGCUCAACCUGGGAAUUGCAUUCGAUACUGGCAAGCUAGAGUAUGGGAGAGGAAGGUAGAAUUCCAGGUGUAGCGGUGAAAUGCGUAGAGAUCUGGAGGAAUACCGAUGGCGAAGGCAGCCUUCUGGCCUAAUACUGACGCUGAGGUGCGAAAGCAUGGGGAGCAAACAGGAUUAGAUACCCCAGUAGUC